This 785-nucleotide long non-coding RNA is filed under the name Olea europaea subsp. europaea. Lineage: Eukaryota; Viridiplantae; Streptophyta; Magnoliopsida; Lamiales; Oleaceae. The record is from RNAcentral.
CUUUCCUCAUGGCAGGCUAUCCGGGGAUUCCAUCAUACUUGGACUUGUCAUUUAGAAUGCAGAAAUUCAUUUAUCUUUCGUAUGCCUAAGGCUCUCAUAUAUCUUCACUAACAAAGUAGCAUGUCCGCGAGGGAUUUGGCUACCACUGAUGAAAUUGUGAGGUUCCAACACAGGAAUUCACGGAUUAUGAUUAAAAUUUUCUCCAGCUAUCAUUGCUCAUAUGACUAUACCUCGUCCUUAUGACUUGAGAUUUCACUUCUAGAUUCAAUAGAUUUAAAUGAAGAGACUAGAGAUUUUUUAUUUACCUAGUUUUUGUGGGUUUCUAAGGCCAUAUUUGUCCGACAAACUUAUCUUUUCUCUGUUGUUAAUCUCUUUGUCCUUGUUCGAGAUUAAAUGACGACAGUCCUGCUGCUCCUUCAAAUUCUUUAUUCCUUCUUUUGCAUUUUUCGUCUUGUCCUUUUGCAUUGCCAUUGUUAUUCGACUCAUUGAUAAGGAACUCCUUGUCAGAUCUUAAUGCUUUUAUUUUAGUAAGAACUGGCUCCAUUUCACCCAUCUCUUUACAAUUAUGAUGAUCUUCUAACACCAAACAGUGAGAUUGUGGUUAUCUUUGCCUGAGUUUCUCUCAGAUGACGCCAUUUUGUUGACCACAAAUUUAUAAUCAACAAAUUCCUCUCGCUUAACUUGGACUUUCUCCUCAUAAUCUCUUUAUACUUGAUACUCAAUAAGGAGCUAGAUGAGUAAAUAAUAUUUGAGAGGAAGAUAUUCAAAUUUGCAUCUAUUUUUUU